UACGGAGGGUGCGAGCGUUAAUCGGAAUUACUGGGCGUAAAGAGUGCGUAGGUGGUUGAUUAAGUUAUCUGUGAAAUCCCUGGGCUUAACCUGGGCAGGUCAGAUAAUACUGAAUGACUCGAGUAUGGGAGAGGGUAGUGGAAUUUCCGGUGUAGCGGUGAAAUGCGUAGAGAUCGGAAGGAACACCAGUGGCGAAGGCGGCUACCUGGCCUGAUACUGACACUGAGGCACGAAAGCGUGGGGAGCAAACAGG
Molecule: ribosomal RNA, 253 nt
Filed under: uncultured bacterium
Lineage: Bacteria
Description: partial 16S ribosomal RNA
Rfam family: Bacterial small subunit ribosomal RNA
Source: RNAcentral